ACCUGUUAAAUUUGCAGAGUUAGCUUAAUACUGUAGCUACUUCUGUGAAACUGCAGGGAGAAUAAAAAGAAAGGUUUUUCGUGUGUGCUACAGCUUUAUGUUCUGUAUGCAUACCCCGUGCCUUUCUGACA
This is a non-coding RNA of Paramuricea clavata, 131 nucleotides long. NCBI's taxonomy places the organism in Eukaryota, Metazoa, Cnidaria, Anthozoa, Malacalcyonacea, Plexauridae. The record is from the annotation of a GenBank genome assembly.